GCGAGUUUGAACCGUGGCGGGCGCCGGAGCCUCCCGGGUUGUGGCGCCAAUGGAGCCCGUUCUGACAGGUGUUUCGGCAUUUGUGGAAGUUUGGUCAUCUAACAGGACAGAAAAUUACUCAAAAACCUUUGAACAGCAACUUCUUGAUAUGGGAGCCAAAGUCUCAAAAACUUUGAACAAACACGUGACCCAUGUAGUCUUCAAGGAUGGACGUUUGACUACAUGGAAAAAAGCACAGAAGAUGGGCGUAAAAACAGUUUCUGUACUUUGGGUGGAAAAGUGUCAAGAAACUGGAGUACGUGUUGAUGAGUCCUUAUUUCCUCCAGUGGACACUAGUGAAGGAUUUCCACUACUGAUCAAAAAACACAAAUGUAUGCAACCAAAAGAUUUUGUUGAAAAAACUCCAGAAAAUGAUAGAAAGCUUCAGAGAAGACUGGACCAGAUGGCUAAAGAUUUAGCUAUACAAAAGACAACAAUUAAUGCUGAAACGGGUGUACCAGUUUUACUAUUUGAAGAAAAUGGUUCACUUGUAUACAGCCCUGUUAAUAAGAUGAAAGAUCAAUGCAAUGCAAUUGAAAGAGGAACGAAGGGUAUGAAGAAAAAAAGAGAAAAUCUUUCUCCUACUGGAGAACAAAUGGAAGACUGCUUGAACUCAAGUUAUGAUUAUCUUUGGGAAACUGAGAAAUUAAAGAGACAGAAAACAGAGGUAGUAGAACACUCCUGUGAUACUUGGACUGAUAGUCUUGUAUCCACAAGUGCAUCAGUGAAUUCUUCAUCACAGGGCAGUGAGCGAAAAAGCUUAACACCAAAACGACAUAGCAGAAGUAGUUUAACAAAGAAACGGAUUAUCCAGCACACUUUGGAUGACAAAUUGUCUUUAGAAAAGAAACAAUCAAAGUUUCCAAAGAAAAAUCAGAAGAAUGAAAAGAGCAAGACUACUUCAAUUGCAAAUGAAAGUUCUCUUCUCAGGGACUUCGAUCAUAUUACUCCUUCCAAAAAAUUAGUGCAGCUAAAUACUGUUCCUUUUUUGAUUGACAGCCUCUCUAAUUCACCUAUGAAUAGUGAAGACUUAAAUACAUGUUCACUGGAUAAAAGCUUCCCUGUUGACAAAAAUGAUAGUAUUCUUGAAGACAAGAAGAGGAAGAAACUACAACCAUUACCUAAUUUGAAGUUUACCUCAGAACUGGGUGCAUCAGGGUCUAAAGGGCUCUUGCAAGCAGUUACUACAUAUAGCAAGUCGUAUUGUACUGAAGAGGCUUCUUAUGAAGACUUCUUUUCAUCCUCUAAUUUAAAUGAAAAUGAAGUACAAAUAAGAGUGCCAAAUGAAUCACAGAGUCGUCCAGAAGUUUGUUGCAAAGACUCUUUUACAAGCAGGGACUUCUGUCAUGUGAGUUUCUCUAAGCCACAUAAUACUACCAAGAAACAUAGGAAAAAGUCUAUUUCAGUGCAUGAUUUUCCAGUAAAGAAAAAAUUUGAACCAGCUAAAUUUCCUGGAAGCAUGCCAUUAAAUAUAUCAGAUGGCACUGCAGAAGCUCUAGAUUCUGAUGAUGUGAAUAGGCUGCCUCAGCAUGCUCAUGAAAAGUCCUACAGAAACAAUGUGAAUUACUGUGCUCAUACUACUGCUCCAAGAAACACCUGCUCAAACUUAGAAGGAAGAAAAAAUACAUUUUGGACACCUUCUUCCUGGGGUUGAUUCUGUGGUCUUUGGAACUGGGCCAUUGGAUUUCAGAGGAACCAUAUGAGCUUUCAUCCAGCUUUCCUGCGGCUCCUGGCAGUAAUCCAAUUAUCCUUCUGGAUAAACUGAAGCUGUCUUUUUUUUCUUGCAACUUGCACUAGAGGAAAACAAACCAUUGCUUAAGAGAUAACAGGAAGAGAAGUCAAAUUUACAAAGAAGUUGUUUACAUUUCAGAAUGUGGAAUUCUAGAUUAAAAAAUUAUAGAAUUUGGUUGAAGAUAAAAAUAUCACUUAGAACUCAAAUAACUAGUGAAUAAUCAUUAGAAAAAUGUAGAUAUCUCAUAUCUGUGAUGUAUCUUUACCACUUCAUAAUUAUAUCAAAAUAUAUUUAUAAUUCAUGUUGCCUUUUGUAGCACGUGCAGUACACAGCAGCUUUUGGGGAUUUUCUCCUCUGGGUAGUUAGGGAAAGAGUUUAUGCCUAAAGAAUCAGGAGCCAUUUCACUGACGAGCUGGAUCUCUGAAACAGGUUUUUUUCAGGGAGUUGUGUUUUGAUCUCUGACUGUUAUCUCAUUCCUUGGAGGAAGAAUCUGCUGUCUUUCUGAUUAGUUCCACAAUUACAGACUUUCUUGUACCCCAGCUUUAGAGACUUUUUUCCCUCCACUUUUAACUUCUCUUGUUUUACUUUAACUAACCAUUGUAAAAUGAUAAAAUACUUCAUUUGGAGUCACCAUACUAGUAGUC
This is an RNA transcript of Neopelma chrysocephalum (saffron-crested tyrant-manakin), 2415 nucleotides long. It is a transcript of the gene named microcephalin 1, with no coding region annotated. The transcript is spliced from 10 exons. The record is from RefSeq and is a predicted model, not a curated record. NCBI's taxonomy places the organism in Eukaryota, Metazoa, Chordata, Aves, Passeriformes, Pipridae.